UCCUGACUGACCGAUAGUGAACCAGUACCGUGAGGGAAAGGCGAAAAGAACCCCGGCGAGGGGAGUGAAAAAGAACCUGAAACCGUGUACGUACAAGCAGUGGGAGCACGCUUAGGCGUGUGACUGCGUACCUUUUGUAUAAUGGGUCAGCGACUUAUAUUCUGUAGCAAGGUUAACCGAAUAGGGGAGCCGAAGGGAAACCGAGUCUUAACUGGGCGUUAAGUUGCAGGGUAUAGACCCGAAACCCGGUGAUCUAGCCAUGGGCAGGUUGAAGGUUGGGUAACACUAACUGGAGGACCGAACCGACUAAUGUUGAAAAAUUAGCGGAUGACUUGUGGCUGGGGGUGAAAGGCCAAUCAAACCGGGAGAUAGCUGGUUCUCCCCGAAAGCUAUUUAGGUAGCGCCUCGUGAAUUCAUCUCCGGGGGUAGAGCACUGUUUCGGCAAGGGG
RNAcentral lists this ribosomal RNA (449 nucleotides) under Shigella sonnei. RNAcentral's name for it is "partial 23S ribosomal RNA". It matches the Rfam family "Bacterial large subunit ribosomal RNA", at positions 474 to 925 of the family's 2925-position model. Lineage: Bacteria; Pseudomonadati; Pseudomonadota; Gammaproteobacteria; Enterobacterales; Enterobacteriaceae. The record is from RNAcentral.